CUACGUGCCAGCAGCCGCGGUAAUACGGAAGGUCCGGGCGUUAUCCGGAUUUAUUGGGUUUAAAGGGAGCGUAGGCCGGAGAUUAAGUGUGUUGUGAAAUGUAGACGCUCAACGUCUGACUUGCAGCGCAUACUGGUUUCCUUGAGUACGCACAACGUUGGCGGAAUUCGUCGUGUAGCGGUGAAAUGCUUAGAUAUGACGAAGAACUCCGAUUGCGAAGGCAGCUGACGGGAGCGCAACUGACGCUUAAGCUCGAAGGUGCGGGUAUCGAACAGGAUUAGAUACCCUGGUAGUCCGCACAGUAAACGAUGGAUGCCCGCUGUUGGUACCUGGUAUCAGCGGCUAAGCGAAAGCAUUAAGCAUCCCACCUGGGGAGUACGCCGGCAACGGUGAAACUCAAAGGAAUUGACGGGGGCCCGCACAAGCGGAGGAACAUGUGGAUUAAUUCGAUGCAACGCGAAGAACCUUACCUGGGUUUGACAUGCACCAGAUCGGCGUAGAGAUACG
This 507-nucleotide ribosomal RNA is filed under the name uncultured bacterium. RNAcentral describes it as "bacterial SSU rRNA". It matches the Rfam family "Bacterial small subunit ribosomal RNA", at positions 501 to 1010 of the family's 1533-position model. The record is from RNAcentral.